This 253-nucleotide ribosomal RNA is filed under the name uncultured bacterium. RNAcentral's name for it is "partial 16S ribosomal RNA". It matches the Rfam family "Bacterial small subunit ribosomal RNA", at positions 524 to 776 of the family's 1533-position model. The record is from RNAcentral.
UACAGAGGGUGCAAGCGUUAAUCGGAAUUACUGGGCGUAAAGCGUGCGUAGACGGUUACAUAAGUCGGGUGUGAAAGCCCCGGGCUCAACCUGGGAAUUGCAUUCGAGACUGCGUAGCUAGGGUGCGGAAGAGGGAAGCGGAAUUUCCGGUGUAGCGGUGAAAUGCGUAGAUAUCGGAAGGAACACCAGUGGCGAAGGCGGCUUCCUGGUCCAGCACCGACGUUCAGGCACGAAAGCGUGGGGAGCAAACAGG